ACGGAAGGCAGCAGUGAGGAAUAUUGGUCAAUGGACGGAAGUCUGAGCCAGCCAUGCCGCGUGAAGGAAUAAGGCCCUAUGGGUCGUAAACUUCUUUUGUGGUGGAGCAAUAAGGUGCACGUGUGCAUCGAUGAGAGUACAUCACGAAUAAGCAUCGGCUAACUCCGUGCCAGCAGCCGCGGUAAUACGGAGGAUGCGAGCGUUAUCCGGAUUUAUUGGGUUUAAAGGGUGCGUAGGCUGUUCUUCAAGUCAGAGGUGAAAUACCGGGGCUUAACCCUGGAACUGCCUUUGAUACUGGAGGGCUUGAAUACUGUUGCCGUGGGAGGAAUGAGUAGUGUAGCGGUGAAAUGCAUAGAUAUUACUCAGAACACCGAUUGCGAAGGCAUCUCACGAAGCAGCGAUUGACGCUGAGGCACGAAAGCGUGGGGAUCAAACAGGAUUAGAUACCCUGGUA
This 454-nucleotide ribosomal RNA is filed under the name uncultured Rikenellaceae bacterium. RNAcentral describes it as "partial 16S ribosomal RNA". It matches the Rfam family "Bacterial small subunit ribosomal RNA", at positions 341 to 792 of the family's 1533-position model. Lineage: Bacteria; Pseudomonadati; Bacteroidota; Bacteroidia; Bacteroidales; Rikenellaceae. The record is from RNAcentral.